UCCGUAGGCGGGCUAAUAAGUCAGGGGUGAAAUCCAACAGCUUAACUGUUGAACUGCCUUUGAUACUGUUAGUCUUGAAUUAUAUGGAAGUAGAUAGAAUGUGUAGUGUAGCGGUGAAAUGCUUAGAGAUUACACAGAAUACCGAUUGCGAAGGCAGUCUACUACGUAUAUAUUGACGCUAAUGGACGAAAGCGUGGGGAGCGAACAGGAUUAGAUACCCUGGUAGUCC
This 229-nucleotide ribosomal RNA is filed under the name uncultured bacterium. Its description in RNAcentral is "partial 16S ribosomal RNA". It matches the Rfam family "Bacterial small subunit ribosomal RNA", at positions 568 to 796 of the family's 1533-position model. The record is from RNAcentral.